GUGUGAUAUUGAAAAAGCCAUAUCAUAUACACUUUAUUAUAUACAUAUACCUCGAGUAGAUGUUUUUUUUUUAUGUAACAUGACGUCAUACAGAUAAGGACGUUUGAAAUGACGUCAUACAUAUUAUAGGUUUGACAUGACGUCAUACAGAUUAGGGAUUUGAUAAAGCCUUUUCAACAGUGACUGCAAUCGAUGACGUGACG
This 203-nucleotide long non-coding RNA is filed under the name Mytilus galloprovincialis (Mediterranean mussel). The record is from RNAcentral. Lineage: Eukaryota; Metazoa; Mollusca; Bivalvia; Mytilida; Mytilidae.